Molecule: long non-coding RNA, 270 nt
Organism: Rosa chinensis
Lineage: Eukaryota; Viridiplantae; Streptophyta; Magnoliopsida; Rosales; Rosaceae
Exons: 3
Source: RefSeq, a predicted model, not a curated record
AUUUUAGUCAAAGUAUUAUGUUGUGACUAGUUCACUUUCAUUUAUGCCAAUAUGCCUUGGUACAACCUUGCAGGUUGAGGAGUUGUAUUCAUUGGACAUUGAUUCUCUUAACAAUCUGAGUUUUUGAGCCCUACAAGGACAGCAAAGUGGAUCUUCUUGGCCCAAAGUUGCCAAUUUGGGGACUUGGCACUUGGUGUGUGGAAGCUUAACACAUUGGGGUUGCUUCCUACACAUGCAUCCGACUGGUUUUCAUCCUUACCCCCUGCUCAG